GGUAUCACCAGCGAACUUGCUGAGGGUGCGCUCGAUCCCGCUGUCCAUGUCUCUGACAAAGAUGUUGAACCAGUCCCAGUACAGACCCCUGAGGGAUGCCACGCGUUCUUGCCUUUUGUCCCUUUGUUGCAUGCCCUUGCUUGUGUUUAUCCCUUCAAGCUGGACUCUUUCAGGUGUUUGUGUUAUGCCUGCAAGCUCAGUACCCCAGCCCAGUGAAAGACAGCUCCCUUAAGACUUAGACAAGCAUUGCGCAGGAAAAGAGAGGUCUGUUCAACUCGCUGUUCAGAGACAGUAUUUACUGAAUGACAUGUAUGCACUACCCUUCUGAAACCUCAACUCUGUUCAAGUUCUGGUAAAUAAAGGUGUAGUGGAAGACCAAAUUCUCCUUAAAAAAUAGUAGGCCAUGCUGUGUAACAGAAGGGCUUAGUCAGAGAAACGGAGCAGAAAGAGAGCUGCUUCUUAGCUGAGGACUUCUAUCUUAAAAUAAUACAUGUUGCAGAAAACAACUAAGAAGCAAAGGAUUCUCACACAACUUUGAUAUCACAGCUUAUGCCUCCUGAGAGUGUUUCUUCACACUGCUGCCGUAGCUUGUUAGGUUAGGGUGGGAUAUUCCCCUGUUGCUCCUGGUAUCGUUGCUUUGCUAGAUUCUUACCCUACUUGAGGACAGUUGCAUAUAGCAGAAAUACCCUUUUGAUUAAGAAAGAUAUUGUUGAAAGGCAACAAUACGUUUUCCCAAUUUCCAUUUCUCAGUCUAAUUAUUCUGGUUCUCGCCAUUGUUGUCCCCUGGAAGAGAUGCCUGCUGAAGCAGAGGGAGGAGAAGACAGUGAAUGCAGCUAAUCCAAUGUGUGAUUUAGUCAGGCAGUUCAACUGAAUGAACAAGCAAAUAAGCUGUAUUUCAAGACCUCCUUUUCCGUGAAAGUGUUCUGGUUUUGUUUUUUUUUUUCUUUUGUUUCCUCAGAGUGAUUCUUGGCUCCGAAGAUAACGGCCACUGUUUUUUGUUUGUUUCCAUCUCACCACGUUUGCAGCACAGCAGACUCUCCCAAAAGCCUUUCAACAUGGACUCAUUUUGCUGUUUGCCCAGCGAAUACAGAUUUUUCAUUUUGAUCUACGUUGUGUGUGGUUUUGGCACACUUUAUAAAUGAACCGAUUAAACGAGUUUUGCUAAUGACUGCCCCUCCCUGUUGGUAGUCAACCCUCAUCAUUCAUGGCCUUCCAUACUGAAGGAGAUGAGCCACCAUGGGGCAAGUGCUUCUUGUAAAGGCCAGAGUAAAUGUCAAGAAACUUCUUCCCUUCUCCUUGACCCAGAAAUGUUGCUGUAGCUCAGCGUCACUGGACAGGCAGUGUUGGGUUGUCCGUAGCAUGACUAUUUUGGGGUAAGUGUCGCUAAGGUUCAGCCAGAUUGUCUAGGUGGGCAAUCACUGAGGUGAGACUGCAUGGGUAAUUUAUGGCAAGUUCUGCAUUUUGUAAUUUAUGCUCUGAAUCUUUGAAUGACAAAGUUAAUUAGCUUUCUCAGAUGAGUGAGAAUCAUGUGUUUAGAGGGGGAAGGAGAAUGCAUCUGGACUCGGGAAUUGCUUGGUGGGGAGGCCCAGGUACUCAGUCAGGUUCCCUUUCUUCUGGCCUGAUGCAUCCUGCUUUUUUCCUUUACAGCAGCCCAGGAUCACGGGAGACAUGGAAACCGCUUCCUCCCUGAGCUUCCUGCAGCCUACUGGAGGUCUGCAAACUGGGACCUGGGGUCAAACCCACCAGGCAGAGGUAGCACCCAGAGCUCCCUGCUCCCGAUGGUGUGCUGUUGUCCUGAGUCUGUUGUCCAAAAAGCUGGCUGCAUCGCACCUGUCGCUUUUAGUUGAACAUGAGGUUGUCUUUGGCUGUCUGCAUGACUCUGUCAUGAGUUGUGGUGCCUCUGGGACCUGUAUUGGGCUGGGAGCUCAACCUUCAGCAGGAGUAAAGGAGGUGAAAGAUUUCAACAUGUUAGGUUUUUUUACAUGGUGACUAGAAACUGGGAGUAUGACCUGGCCGUGAAAAAGGUAAAAGGUGUUAACCUUAAGCUUACCUGUAUGUCUUUCCAUUAAACUUGACCUUACCUGUGUGCCUUUCAGUUAACCUUGAGUUUACCCGUGUGUCUUUCCAGCUGAGAUGGGGGCAUUGCCUCAUACAAGAUGCACAUCUGCUCUCUUGCAUUCAAGAAAGAAAAAUUAAAACUGGAACAAGUGAGGAAGAGGGCUGAUAUGUUGAUCAGGGGAAGGGAAAGGCUGUCCUAGGAGAGGAGACUAAAAGCUUAGCUUGCUUUGCCUAGCAAGUGGAAGCUGGGAGGUGAUACCAUCAUUUAGUCAAAAUCCUUCAGGCUGGCAGUAAAGAGCAAGGGAAAAGCUAUUCCAGCCAAAAGACAAUGUUGGCUUGUGAGCAAGUGUCACUAACUGAUUGGGAAUAAAUUUGAACUGGAAAUUAGGAGUAAGGUGGGGGCAAGGUGCUGAUGAACCUUUUGUACUCUGUGUGUGGUGCCAGGACUGUAAAGCCCCAUGCCUGCAGCAUGACCUUUUGCAGGGUGUAACGUGGUGUCAGAAAGGCUGUGCUGAAACUGCAUUUGGUUUGGACUAGCAGCGACCAUUCGAGAAACUGUUGUUUGCCAUGUGCGCAGAGCGGGGUUUCACACUCGACCUCUUUUGAGUUUCCUUCUUGACUUUGGUUUGUGGGAAGGAGCUAGUCUGGAAGGGGAAAAUAAAGGAAAAGCUUCCAACUCCGCUUCUUAAGCUCAGAACGUGUGAUGGCCCCGUUUGCUAUCAGUUUGCUGGGCUAGUCCUCUACAAACAAGAGGAAUUUACCCCACGGCAAUCUUUCUUCACUAGAACCCUGCAAAAGGAAGUGAAGUUUAAUUAGCGUUUUAAAGUGGACAGCCUUGAAGUUAAUGAUAUUCAAUAAAGAAAAAUUGUUUUAACCUUAUUUGCACUUUUCAAUUUACUUAUUAGAGGCCAUCUGUUAUAUUUUAAGCAAGAGCACUGGGAGCUAAACUCUCAGAUUGUCAAAUGAGGUUUUAACUGGCUAAGCAGAAGGGAAGGAACAGGCUGCCUUAAAAGAGCAAUUAGACUGUUUUUCUUCAAUUUCUCACUUUCGUGUCAAAAAGCAAAUGGUCACCAUUUCAAGCAACAGUCGAGUUGUGACAAUGACAUCUGUUUUUACAGGUGCUGAUGAGUCCUGGGGAAUGUCACUUGUCCUCAGAUCUCAGAUAUGGUCCGACAUGGAUGAAAUUCAAAAAGCCAAAAGUGAGAUGAAACUGGUGAGGCGUGUGAAGGGCAGGAGUGGCAGUGAUUGUGGAAGGUCCCGAAUGAUUGGGAAGAGGCUAAUGUGAAGUUCAUCCUCAAAGGGAGUAAGGAGGAUCCAAGAAAACUGCAAACUGGUCAGCUCCACCUCUGUCUCCAGGAGGGUUACAGAGCAAAUCUUCCUGAGGGCCAUUUCCAGGCACAUGAAGGAUAAGAAUUCAGGGGCCAGAUCUGCAUUGACUGUCAUGGGAAUUUGACUUCUCAGCUUAUCUGUUUUAAGCUUGAGCGGAUUCCCACCAUACCUCUGAGAAGGUGGGUGUUUUUCUUGUGUCCCUGGGCAAAGUGAGAGCCUUUGGCAGGACAAGAGCCAAACCUUGGUCCCCCAGGUCUUAUGAGAAUAGUUUAAGUACUGGGCUACCCUUAAUUCCUCCUGGAGGGUUUGGGAAAGGAAAGCAAAAUAUCUUCUCUCAGUCUUCUUAGCAAUCUAUGGGAGCCAGGACAGCUGGUGCUGUGCAUGUGGAUUCAGGACUGUACAUUCGUGAGUGGAUGUUAGCAAUCCCUCUGGAUUUAAUAAUUGAUGUACCACUGUUCACCUGAGCAGAGGCUCUGAAUCCCGUUCUCUGGGGUACUUGGCAGUGGUGGCUGUAAGGUUACCAUGCCCAGAGCAGGAGUGGAAUAAUCCCUUUAAUCCCUUUUGCAAACAAAUGCAAAAUGUGAUCCGUGCCAUGGGCUGAUACCCUGUUCUCCAGGAGCAGCAACUUAAAUUGCCACAACCUGACUCCCUUCCACCUGGACAUUUGAAGACUGAUCCCACAACUGCUUGAAAAUUUAGAUAUGAGCUUCACCCCCGUGGGUCAUCCUGCUGAAGUUAGGCUGAAGGUGACUUUUCUGUGUGAGGUCCUGUGGGCAUCCCAGAUUUCCUAGGGACUGAACCCACCAGCUCCUGGAGAGCCAGGCUUGCUCUGCAGCCAGCUGCAUUCCUGUCCCGCGUGGUGAGUUACAGUGACAGAAGGGAGGAGAAAUGAUCCGAACGAAAGAAACAGAGCAGAAACGUAAACUAGAUCAUGUUGAUUCACAACAGCGUUUGAUCAUUAGUAAGAACCCCCCCACUAAACCAAAUGAACUAUGAAGUAUCUGUGGCAGUGAAAUCCAGCUGCCAACAAUGUUUGUCGUAAAAAAUUGCCAUGGGUACUGUUAGUUUGCUGUAAGCGCUAAAGCUGAAUAUGUGUGCAAUAAAAUACCUUUUAUAAAA
This is a long non-coding RNA of Falco peregrinus (peregrine falcon), 4506 nucleotides long. RefSeq lists it as uncharacterized. The transcript has 2 exons. The record is from RefSeq and is a predicted model, not a curated record. NCBI's taxonomy places the organism in Eukaryota, Metazoa, Chordata, Aves, Falconiformes, Falconidae.